Molecule: long non-coding RNA, 1297 nt
Filed under: Linum usitatissimum (flax)
Lineage: Eukaryota; Viridiplantae; Streptophyta; Magnoliopsida; Malpighiales; Linaceae
Description: long non-coding RNA (LUSI_LNC003345)
Source: RNAcentral
GGGAAGAAAAAGAGGGGACUACCGACUACAACGAGAAACACCAACCCCAAUCCCAUCACAAGCAAUCUACAGCCCAUUACCACUACGCCCCAAUCAUAUUACACAACCCCAUUACAAACGAAAAUUGGCCAAAAUAAACAGAAAAUACAAAGCUCUUCUAGCCGAAAUUUUGGGGAUUCGAAGCUUCCGAAUUCCCAAGUUCCCGGAGCCAGCAACCAAGGGCCAUCCAUGCUGCGAAAGAAGAACAAAAUCAGCUUUUAAAGGUUGGUCCUCCCAAACAAAACAUCUUCCCAAUUUUCAAAUCAUAUCUAUGUUUCCAUUGCUCAUGUCCUAAACCCUUUUCUAAUCUAAUAAUCAUCAAUACUAAAUAAUCCGAAGAACUCACAGAAACAGUAAUAUAAAAAAGUAAAGACUGUUUUCACCAAAUGAAAGCUUACUAGAAAAUAUGAUUAAAAGGAUUCAAAUGGGCGAUUUCGAGUCAUUUUAACACCAUCAACAUCAAAAUUCAAAUACCGUACAAAGACUUAACAUGUGGCACUACAAUCAAGCAAAAUAUGGGCAUUUUCUCCAAAUAACUAUUGCUGGAAUUUUAUUAAAACUAACAAAGUGAUCAAAUUUUUCAAGCAAAUAAGCCAUCUUAUGGUGUUUAAAGUACUGAGUUCAGUUCCAUAACAGGACAGUCAAAUUUUCACCUUUCAAUCUACAUAUUUUAAUCUUAAUGACAAAACUGUUUCUACCAAACAAAAUUAGAAUAUUUAGAAUUAAGAGUUUUACCUUUCCUAAGAGCGUCUUCCCUCUUCUUCAUUUUUCCGAUCGAUUUCCCCUGGUAGGUUGAAACUGAGUUUUCUUUCUUCAUUCACCUGAAAUACACUUAGAAAAUCAGACUCUUUCUCUUCUGUCUUCGAAAUAAAUUAAACUACAAAAGAAAAAAGACAAAACAAUACUUAACCUUCUUCUCUUUGUCAGUUUCUUCGUGUCCCCUUCUCCUUUUCUUUACCGAAUCCUCAACUCCAUUGAAAAUAGUAAAGAGAACAAAAUAAGAGAAAGAACACAAACUCAAACCCUAAAUCUACAGAUCGGGGCUUGCAAACGACAUGCAAGCCCGGAUCGAACUAAAAAUAGAAAAAAAACACGAAUAGAAAGGGGGCUUUUUACCUUUUCUUCCUUCUGUUUUCCUUCCUUUGUCGUUGUGGGAGAAGAGAGGAGAUGGAGGCGGCGCGGCCGCCGCCGCUGAGAGAGAAGGAGAAGAGGAAGGAACAGGAGGCGAAAGAGAGGCAGGAAGAAGAAGAGGACAAAA